RNAcentral lists this long non-coding RNA (1447 nucleotides) under Anas platyrhynchos platyrhynchos (common mallard). RNAcentral's name for it is "lncRNA (ENSAPLG00000025924.1)". The record is from RNAcentral. Lineage: Eukaryota; Metazoa; Chordata; Aves; Anseriformes; Anatidae.
AUGCUCUCGGGGGCACACAGAAAGCAGAAUGAAGCCCUGAAAUCAGCUUCGCACCCUACUUCAGCAGCAGCAGACGCGCUUGGCCUGCCAAAGGUGCACACCCUCUGCCUAAACCUCAAUUUUCAGGGCACAAACUGGGGCAACAGCACAAGAGCGGGUGAUGGAGGGAUGUGUCUGCUCAGCCCCUCACAGCCCCACCACAGCCCCUCUGCUGCUCGCUGGACCUAUGUGCACGGGCAGGGGGGCUAUACGGGUUUGGGAUCACACCAGCCGUCCUUUCCCUCCCCAGGUCAGUGGUGGGGGAGGCCGGGUGAGAAAAUGGCGGCCUGGCAGGCAGGUCGCGCGGCCAUGGCGGUGGGGGCGCAGGCGGCGGCUGAUGGCGGCCGGUUUCCAUGGAGUCAGUGUGAAGCUUGGCUGAUUUUCACUGAAGUAGUAGAAGAUUCCUGAAGCACGUUGAGAGGAACGGGUUGACGAUGAGAGGGGUUUUGAGUCCAAGAGCUGCUCGCAAUGCAAAAGAUGGAGCCCACGAAGAAGGUGAAAACAUCAUGCAUGAAUGAGCGAUGCAAGGUAUGUUCAGAUGGGCAAGGCAGCAUUGUACUGUGGGUACAUGGGUACAUGGCACCAGGCAAGCUGCUGUAUCUGCGCUUAUCCAUGCAGAGACACAAGCACCCUGGAAGGAAAUUAGCCAUAUUAACAUAGCAUGGCAUUGAGGUUAAUCUACCCCAUUCUUGAGCAGAAUUCAUUGGGUCUCAAAGCUGUCCGCAUGUGGCUGUAUCAUUUCCACCUCUGGAGUUAUAUGGGACAGAAUUACCCAUGACCAACUCUGGGAACAUGCAGAAUAGGCAGUAGCUGUGUGAAGUAAUGGUAUACCUCUGACCCUCCUGUCAACUUUGCCAGAGUCAUGGAAAGCCAAAUUUGGCAACAUCACUCAGAGAAGGGCUGAGAUGUGUAAAACAGCAUUUAUGAGGCCUGAUGUUACCAACAUCUGAGAAAUAGCCUUGUUGCUUCUGUUUUCUUCUUCCUGGAGUCUCAAGGGAUCAGCAUUCUAGUUCCUUUCCGUCUUCUUUCCCUUCCCAGUCCUCUUUUCUUUCUCUUUCCUCUUCUUGCACAGGACUAGUCCAGCUCAAAUCCCCACAUCAUAACUGAACUUUACCUAUGCUCCUGAGAAUCUGCCAGUCACCUCUGGUACUGCCGCGGAGAUCUGCACUGCUUGUAGCCACAUCCUUUGAGACCCUCAGCUCAGGAUUGCUUGCCAUAGCUAACCCUGCAGAAACCUCCCUCCCUGUCACUCCUCCUCCCUUCCCAAGACACUGUAGAGCUGACAGCAGCAGCUGAAUUACCUGGCUGCUUUUCAGAAGAACGUAUCCCAGAGCAAAGUAAGGCAGUGGCCCCAGCCACUCAGUGUAAUUAAACACAAGCAUCAUAUUUGUAUAGCUUGUGCCGUGGC